GACACACAGGAAAGUCCAGGACAGGAGGAUAGGACCUUGGGUAGUGACUCCACUUUUCUGAGUUCAUUAAGUGUGGGUAGUUCUGGCAUUGAGAAACGAGGUGGGGGCUGGGAGCCCUGAGUGAUAACUAACUGGGAGUUAUUUCCAGAGCUGUUGGUUUUAGAUCUCGGACUUGUAUUGUUCCAUUUCCUCCUGGCCCCGGCCUUUCAAAGCUUUUCCUGGGAGUUUCAGCUGCCUCGUGGGUUGUGUGUCUGUGUCCUCUCUUGAAGGAUGUGCAAUUCUGAAAGCCAGCAUGUGCCCCGGGGAAGUCCUGAGACAGACCGCCAGGAAGUGAGCAGGACUCAGAAGGCCAGACAAGAAGAUCUUCUUGGGCGUUGCUGUCUAGGUUCCCAGUAUGAAACUCAAGUCGCCAGGUUGGCCUGAGCCUGAUUUCCAGCAGACAGUGACCUUGGACUUCUGGUCUUCCUGCCUCUCCCCCCUACCCCAGCCCUGGGAUUACAGGCGAGCAACUUCCUUCAUGGCUUAUUCAGUGCUGGAGACUGAACACAGGACUUUGUUUAUGUUGCGUAGGUACUCUACCAACUGAGUCACGCCCCCCAGCCCCACGGAAGGCUUGUUUUAGACCUGGAAUCCUAGACUAGACAGAGAGAUCUGUCCGUGGUGACAACUGGGGCUCUGUUCUCCAGAUCUAGGCAAGCCCGGAGGAGAAAGCAGAAAGAAUUUUGGUGCUCAGAGUGAAGUUGACCUGGGUGUGGGGGGUUGGGCUGAGCCAUCCAGCAAGGCGAAGGGCGUGGCAUAUCUCAAUAACUAAGAAAGCCACACCCACUUAGUACCUACCUGUCCUGGAUACGGAAGCGGGCACCACCGAAGUUCUCCCCCGUAGUUGCAGGCUAUGUACUGUUGUUCUCUCCUUGUAUGGAUGAGAAGCCAAGGCCACUGAGGUAGCAGAGCCCACGAGGGUCGGGCAGCUAGUAAACACAGCACGCGUGGAUGCUUAGAGCCAGAGGGGAAGUUAUCCCAGCGGCCUUCGGUCUGUCUCAUACCCUUCUGCUUCACAGAGCUUGGGAAACACUAAUCGAUACUGCGAUCCAUACUCUUCUCCGCAGCCAGAGAGAAGUUUCUGGAAGCCAGCUCUGGUAAAGUCUUGCUUCUAGUCACAAAGUCUCUGUGGCGCACAGCGACAGUCUACACAGGCCUGGCAGGAGUUGGCAGACAACAUUAGCCUCUGCUGAAAGUCUCUGGCUACACUAGUCCCCUGGACUUCUCCUGGACCAGACACUCCCUGCCUUUCUCUGCUAGCUGAGGUUUGCUCCAGGCAUCUGAGGAAAUAUCCUUCCAUAGCAUUAUACCUGCCUUCUCCCCUCCCUGGUUGAGCCUAGAGUUCCCCUGCAGACUUGGGAAGAGUGUGGCGUUGGUUUGGCCUGGUUUGAGCAUCAGCUGACAUUUACUGAUAUGUGAUACACAGAUUUUUGAUCUCAGCUUUGUGCUUUAUGAGGACAGGUAAACAAACGUAUUAAAGCUCAGCCAGGAGUUGCUUUCAAUGGUAGCAGUACAUAGAUGCGUUUGGAAACUGUGUCGUGAUCACGGUUGGCUCUUUCGAAGCUGUGCAACAAGGGCAAGUUGCUUGACCUCUCUGAGCCCAGGCCUUCCUGUCUGUGAAAUGGGCAUCAUGUUUGUGCCUGCCGCCCAGGUCAGCAAGGACUCAAUGAGACACACCAGGCAAAGGCAAACACACUUCCCAGUUCUGCCUAAACUCCAGGGUGGGGGCAGCCCUGCUGGGUGGGGCCCUUUGGAAGAGGCAGGUGGUGGAGGGCAGGUGUACAUGGGCCGUGUGGCUCAGUGAGCUAUGCUGAGACUGCCCCAGUGUUUGGUAACAGGCCUGGGUCUUCUCUCUGGUCAAGUAAAUAUUAUAAGAAAGGGUUGUCUCGAAGGAGCCACUCCCCCCUUGAGGGCCAAAGUCCUCAGGAAACGGUCUGGAGGCUCCUUUUAUGUGACUGUAAAGUAAUCCAGGGCCUGGCAGGGUCGAGGUUGGGUGGCUCUGACGCGCAGGGUGGCAUCCAAAUGGUCAAUGAUUACCUUUUAUACUUGGCCAUAAAGACAACCGCCUGGUGUACGGACAGUUACUUUAUAAGGUGAAUGUCUCAGGAAGGUGUCGUAAGUACACACAC
Molecule: long non-coding RNA, 2168 nt
Organism: Apodemus sylvaticus (European woodmouse)
Lineage: Eukaryota; Metazoa; Chordata; Mammalia; Rodentia; Muridae
Exons: 3
Source: RefSeq, a predicted model, not a curated record